Lingula anatina is the source of this 231-nucleotide long non-coding RNA. The record is from RefSeq and is a predicted model, not a curated record. NCBI's taxonomy places the organism in Eukaryota, Metazoa, Brachiopoda, Lingulata, Lingulida, Lingulidae.
UGCUACAAACGCCAGCGUCCAUUAAAAGAAACGUUAAAUCCGCAAAUGAUAAAGCUGCAAAAGUUACACAAAGUUUACUCCAGAGAAGACCAAGACUGGCAAACAAACUCAGUGCACAUAACAAGAAGCAGAAGAGCGUCCCAGAGCAAGUUCCCGUUAAGACUGCGCCGGAUGAUGCUGACGACGAUUUGGAGCCUGGGUUCGUCAACCAAAAACGCACACUUUUCGACG